RNAcentral lists this ribosomal RNA (325 nucleotides) under uncultured eukaryote. RNAcentral's name for it is "partial 18S ribosomal RNA". It matches the Rfam family "Eukaryotic small subunit ribosomal RNA", at positions 1470 to 1796 of the family's 1831-position model. The record is from RNAcentral.
CCCUUAGAUGUUCUGGGCCGCACGCGCGCUACACUGAUGCAUUCAACGAGUUUUUCCUUGGCCGAGAGGCCUGGGCAAUCUUUUAAACGUGCAUCGUGAUAGGGAUAGAUUAUUGCAAUUAUUAAUCUUGAACGAGGAAUUCCUAGUAAACGCAGAUCAUCAAUCUGCAUUGAUUACGUCCCUGCCCUUUGUACACACCGCCCGUCACACCUACCGAUUGAAUGGUCCGGUGAAGCCUCGGGAUUGUGGCGAGUUCCCUUUAUUGGGAGUUUGUCGCGAGAACUUGUCUAAACCUUAUCAUUUAGAGGAAGGUGAAGUCGUAACA